RNAcentral lists this ribosomal RNA (497 nucleotides) under uncultured bacterium. RNAcentral describes it as "partial 16S ribosomal RNA". It matches the Rfam family "Bacterial small subunit ribosomal RNA", at positions 28 to 507 of the family's 1533-position model. The record is from RNAcentral.
GAUGAACGCUGGCGGCGUGCCUAAUACAUGCAAGUCGAGCGAACAGACGAGGAGCUUGCUCCUCUGACGUUAGCGGCGGACGGGUGAGUAACACGUGGAUAACCUACCUAUAAGACUGGGAUAACUUCGGGAAACCGGAGCUAAUACCGGAUAAUAUAUUGAACCGCAUGGUUCAAUAGUGAAAGACGGUUUUGCUGUCACUUAUAGAUGGAUCCGCGCCGCAUUAGCUAGUUGGUAAGGUAACGGCUUACCAAGGCAAGGAUGCGUAGCCGAACGGAGAGGGUGAUCGGCCACACGGGAACUGAGACACGGUCCAGAGUCCUACGGGAGGCAGCAGUAGGGAAUCUUCCGCAGAGGGCGAAAGCCUGACGGAGCAACGCCGCGUGAGUGAUGAAGGUCUUCGGAUCGUAAAACUCUGUUAUUAGGGAAGAACAAAUGUGUAAGUAACUAUGCACGUCUUGACGGUACCUAAUCAGAAAGCCACGGCUAACUACGUG